CCUUCGUACCUUCACUCGGAUCGUCCGACACGUUCCUGUCGGUGAGAGGACACAUCA
Rhodococcus sp. MEB064 is the source of this 57-nucleotide non-coding RNA. The record is from Rfam. Lineage: Bacteria; Bacillati; Actinomycetota; Actinomycetes; Mycobacteriales; Nocardiaceae.